GCCUUACACAUGCAAGUCGAACGGUAGAGUAGCAAUACUCGAGAGUGGCGAACGGGUGAGUAAUAUAUCGGAACGUGCCCAGUCGUGGGGGAUAACGUAGAGAAAUUUACGCUAAUACCGCAUACGAUCUAAGGAUGAAAGCGGGGGACUCGCAAGAGCCUCGCGCGAUUGGAGCGGCUGAUAUCAGAUUAGGUUGUUGGUGAGGUAAAAGCUCACCAAGCCGACGAUCUGUAGCUGGUUUGAGAGAACGACCAGCCACACUGGGACUGAGGCACGGCCCAGACUCCUACGGGAGGCAGCAGUGGGGAAUUUUGGACAAUGGGCGAAAGCCUGAUCCAGCAAUGCCGCGUGCAGGAAGAAGGCCUUCGGGUUGUGAACUGCUUUUGUACGGAACGAAACGGUCUGCUUUAAUACAGCGGGCUAAUGACGGUACCGUAAGAAUAAGCACCGGCUAACUACGUGCCAGCAGCCGCGGUAAUACGUAGGGUGCGAGCGUUAAUCGGAAUUACUGGGCGUAAAGCGUGCGCAGGCGGUUAUAUAAGACAGUUGUGAAAUCCCCGGGCUCAACCUGGGAAUUGCAUCUGUGACUGUAUAGCUAGAGUACGGUAGAGGGGGAUGGAAUUCCGCGUGUAGCAGUGAAAUGCGUAGAUAUGCGGAGGAACACCGAUGGCGAAGGCAAUCCCCUGGACCUGUACUGACGCUCAUGCACGAAAGCGUGGGGAGCAAACAGGAUUAGAUACCCUGGUAGUCCACGCCCUAAACGAUGUCAACUGGUUGUUGGGUGCAUUAGUACUCAGUAACGAAGCUAACGCGUGAAGUUGACCGCCUGGGGAGUGCGGC
Molecule: ribosomal RNA, 840 nt
Filed under: uncultured bacterium
Lineage: Bacteria
Description: bacterial SSU rRNA
Rfam family: Bacterial small subunit ribosomal RNA
Source: RNAcentral